UGUAUUAGCUGAAUUUAAAUUUGAUGUGAGUUUUAAAAUCACAUCGA
RNAcentral lists this small nucleolar RNA (47 nucleotides) under Meriones unguiculatus (Mongolian gerbil). RNAcentral's name for it is "Small nucleolar RNA SNORD45 (ENSMUGG00000007731.1)". It matches the Rfam family "Small nucleolar RNA SNORD45", at positions 20 to 66 of the family's 72-position model. From Rfam's summary of the family: U45 belongs to the C/D class of snoRNA which contain the C (UGAUGA) and D (CUGA) box motifs. The record is from RNAcentral. Lineage: Eukaryota; Metazoa; Chordata; Mammalia; Rodentia; Muridae.